GUAGGGAAUAUUGCACAAUGGAGGAAACUCUGAUGCAGCGACGCCGCGUGAGUGAUGAAGGCCUUCGGGUCGUAAAGCUCUGUCGCAGGGGAAUAACACAAUGAAGGUACCCUGUAAGAAAGGAUCGGCUAACUUCGUGCCAGCAGCCGCGGUAAGACGAGGGAUCCUAGCGUUGUUCGGAAUCAUUGGGCGUAAAGCGGAUGUAGGUGGCUAUGUAAGUCAGAUGUGAAAGCCUGGGGCUCAACCCCAGAAGUGCAUUUGUUACUGCGUAGCUUGAGUGUCGGAGAGGUUACUAGAAUUGUUGGUGUAGUGGUGAAGUACGUAGAUAUCAACAGGAAUACCGGAGGCGAAGGCGGGUAACUGGCCGAACACUGACACUGAGAUCCGAAAGCGUGGGGAUCAAACAGGAUUAGAAACCCUAGUAGUCC
RNAcentral lists this ribosomal RNA (428 nucleotides) under uncultured bacterium. RNAcentral describes it as "partial 16S ribosomal RNA". It matches the Rfam family "Bacterial small subunit ribosomal RNA", at positions 354 to 796 of the family's 1533-position model. The record is from RNAcentral.